Molecule: ribosomal RNA, 440 nt
Filed under: uncultured bacterium
Lineage: Bacteria
Description: partial 16S ribosomal RNA
Rfam family: Bacterial small subunit ribosomal RNA
Source: RNAcentral
CCUACGGGAGGCUGCAGUAGGGAAUAUUGCUCAAUGGGGGAAACCCUGAAGCAGCAACGCCGCGUGGAGGAUGACGGUUUUAGGAUUGUAAACUCCUUUUGUUAGAGAAGAUUAUGACGGUAUCUAUCGAAUAAGCACCGGCUAACUCCGUGCCCGCAGCCGCGGUAAUACGGAGGGUGCCAGCGUUACUCGGAAUCACUGGGCGUAAAGAGUGCGUAGGGGGGGUAAUAAGUCAGUUGUGAAAUCCUGUAGGUUAACUACAGAAGUGCAUUUGAAACUGUUACUCUGGAGUGUGGGAGAGGUAGGUGGAAUUCGUGGUGUAGGGGUAAAAUCCGUAGAGAUCAAGAGGAAUACUGAUUGCGAAGGCGACCUGCUGGAACAUUACUGACGCUGAUGCACGAAGGCGUGGGGAGCAAACAGGAUUAGAUACCCGGGUAGUC